UAUCAUGUCAUUUUGGUAUUAAAAUUAUAAAAUAGAAUGAAAAAAAUGAUAAAAUCAUGAUUAAAACUGGGCAUUGAGACUCUUAUUGAAAUAUUUGAAGAUUGCUAAAUGUUACUACUGAUAUUGGUAAUAAAAUGUAUAGGAUAUUAAAACAAUACAAAAAUGUGUUGUAGAAUGAAAGGUACGAAAUAUGCUGGUACCCCUAUUUCUCCUCUUCAUUUUGUCAGUAUACCUGUAUUUAAGCUACCGAGAAGAACACAUAGCUGUAACAUCUACCAUCCGUCAGAUAUGGUCCGGAGAAUGCAGGAUGUCAUGCACCGAGAACAACAGACAAGGGUACAGCGGGGUGACUGCGCUGGUGCGUCCUGGAACCAGUCAGGAUCCACCCAUCCCCUGUGUCUGCGUCAACUGUCCAUGCGGGGUUUUGGAAAGAGUUCACUAUUCAACCAGACCGGCCGUGAAUCUCUACUACAAAUGUGUUGAAAUUCUGUCGAAUUUUAUCUACAUGACCAUCGAAAAGUUGACGGAUUGUAUAAAUUACGUUACGGGAAUAGCAUUGAGAGGAAUCCCAGCUUCCGAACAGAGACAACCACGGAUUUCAAAUGUAUUGGAUUCGUCUCAAAACUUAAACUUUGGCAGUUCUAGUCCAGAACGGAAGAACGAAGGGCUUCGAGACAAAGCUAAAGCGUUAAUUCGUCGAAGAACUUCUUUUUUUGACAAUAAAAAAGAUCGUGAAUCAUCAACGAGGGAUUCACUCAACCCUGAAGUGAUAGACUCAGAGCCAGUGAGCGACAAUGUUUGUCCCAAAUGUAAAGCAAAAGGUGUAGUUUGUAUAAAGACCUGUCCCAAAUCUAGUGAUCAAUCAAAAUAAAAAAUAACGGUCGUUUGUUUCAAUUACGAUGAAUUUAUUAAUCCUUUUAAUAUAUAAUAAAUGUUAUAAUCUGAU
Leptidea sinapis is the source of this 946-nucleotide long non-coding RNA. RefSeq lists it as uncharacterized. The transcript is spliced from 6 exons. NCBI's taxonomy places the organism in Eukaryota, Metazoa, Arthropoda, Insecta, Lepidoptera, Pieridae. The record is from RefSeq and is a predicted model, not a curated record.